This 437-nucleotide ribosomal RNA is filed under the name uncultured bacterium. RNAcentral describes it as "bacterial SSU rRNA". It matches the Rfam family "Bacterial small subunit ribosomal RNA", at positions 43 to 524 of the family's 1533-position model. The record is from RNAcentral.
CAGGCCUAACACAUGCAAGUCGAACGGGCAUCUUCGGAUGCUAGUGGCGCACGGGUGCGUAACGCGUGGGAAUCUGCCCUUUGGUUCGGAAAAACAGCGGGAAACUGCUGCUAAUACCGGAUGAUGACGAAAGUCCAAAGAUUUAUCGCCAGAGGAUGAGCCCGCGUCGGAUUAGCUAGUUGGUGGGGUAAAGGCCUACCAAGGCGACGAUCCGUAGCUGGUCUGAGAGGAUGAUCAGCCACACUGGGACUGAGACACGGCCCAGACUCCUACGGGAGGCAGCAGUGGGGAAUAUUGGACAAUGGGCGAAAGCCUGAUCCAGCAAUGCCGCGUGAGUGAUGAAGGCCUUAGGGUUGUAAAGCUCUUUUACCCGGGAAGAUAAUGACUGUAUCGGGAGAAUAAGCCCCGGCUAACUCCGUGCCAGCAGCCGCGGUAAU